RNAcentral lists this ribosomal RNA (60 nucleotides) under Colletotrichum truncatum. Its description in RNAcentral is "partial 28S ribosomal RNA". The record is from RNAcentral. Lineage: Eukaryota; Fungi; Ascomycota; Sordariomycetes; Glomerellales; Glomerellaceae.
UUGACCUCGGAUCAGGUAGGAAUACCCGCUGAACUUAAGCAUAUCAUGUAAGCGGAGGAA